Molecule: long non-coding RNA, 729 nt
Organism: Quercus lobata
Lineage: Eukaryota; Viridiplantae; Streptophyta; Magnoliopsida; Fagales; Fagaceae
Exons: 4
Source: RefSeq, a predicted model, not a curated record
GGUUUUCCUUCGCUUUGGUAGAGCACUGUUAAAUGCAAUUGGUAAUUUAGAGCUCACUGGUGCUUAUGCAGAGGCUUUGAGAAACCUAGGACACAAAUUAGAACAUGUGGCUAUCCAGGAGCCUGAUGCUGCACUUGGUAAUGGGGGUCUUGGGCGGCUUGCCUCUUGUUUUUAGGACUCUUUGGCAACAUUAAAUUACCCAGCCUGGGAUUAUGGACUUAAAAACAAGUAUGGUUUGUUUAAGCAGCGAAUUACAAAAGAUGGGCAGGAGGAAGUUCCUGAAGAUUGGCUUGAGAUGGGCAACCCUUGGGAAAUUGUGAGAAAUGAUGUCUCAUAUCCUAUGAAAUUCUAUGGCAAGGUUGCUUCUGGAUCAGAUGGUAAAAGACACUGGAUUGGAGGAGAAGAUAUAAAGGCUGUUGCUUGUGAUGUUCCCAUUCCAGGAUAUAAAACUAAAACCACUAUCAAUCUGCAGCUUUGGUCAACCAAAGCUCUGUCAAAAUAUUUUGACUUAUAUGCUUUUAACAUAAAAAAUAGUUUGGGGCCAUACAUGUGCUGGAGAUUCUGAAAUUUGGGUGAUAGCAUUUGCAGUGGAAAAAGUUAGGUUUUAUCUUAUUACCAACCUGAUACCCAGCAUCCCCACGUUGUGUCUCUUUUCAAAUUGUGGUUGACUUGACCACCAGUAAUGCCUAUUUUUGGAUGCUUUCUUUAAUUUGUUUAAUUUUUUGUUUA